GAGCACGUAGGUGGGUUUGUAAGUCAGAUGUGAAAGCCUUCUGUUCAACGGAAGAAUUGCUUCUGAAACUGCAAACCUUGAGUAUAGGAGGGGAGAAUGGAACUUCUGGUGGAGCGGUGAAAUGCGUAGAUAUCAGAAGGAACGCCGGCGGCGAAAGCGAUUCUCUGGCCUAUGUCUGACACUCAGUGUGCGAAAGCUAGGGGAGCAAACGGGAUUAGAUACCCCGGUAGUCCUAGCCGUAAACGAUGGGCACUAAGUAGAGGGGUUUU
This 269-nucleotide ribosomal RNA is filed under the name uncultured bacterium. Its description in RNAcentral is "partial 16S ribosomal RNA". It matches the Rfam family "Bacterial small subunit ribosomal RNA", at positions 565 to 832 of the family's 1533-position model. The record is from RNAcentral.